GCCGAUGAUGAAACAAAACAAGGCUGAAAAAGUGAUGAGCCCUAUGAGUACUGAU
This 55-nucleotide unclassified non-coding RNA is filed under the name uncultured archaeon. RNAcentral's name for it is "sR41". The record is from RNAcentral.